This 465-nucleotide ribosomal RNA is filed under the name Vreelandella stevensii. RNAcentral's name for it is "partial 16S ribosomal RNA". It matches the Rfam family "Bacterial small subunit ribosomal RNA", at positions 338 to 795 of the family's 1533-position model. Lineage: Bacteria; Pseudomonadati; Pseudomonadota; Gammaproteobacteria; Oceanospirillales; Halomonadaceae. The record is from RNAcentral.
CCUACGGGUGGCAGCAGUGGGGAAUAUUGGACAAUGGGCGAAAGCCUGAUCCAGCCAUGCCGCGUGUGUGAAGAAGGCCUUCGGGUUGUAAAGCACUUUCAGUGGGGAAGAAAGCCUUGGGGCUAAUACCCUCGAGGAAGGACAUCACCCACAGAAGAAGCACCGGCUAACUCCGUGCCAGCAGCCGCGGUAAUACGGAGGGUGCGAGCGUUAAUCGGAAUUACUGGGCGUAAAGGGCGCGUAGGCGGUCUGAUAAGCCGGUUGUGAAAGCCCCGGGCUCAACCUGGGAACGGCAUCCGGAACUGUCAGGCUAGAGUGCAGGAGAGGAAGGUAGAAUUCCCGGUGUAGCGGUGAAAUGCGUAGAGAUCGGGAGGAAUACCAGUGGCGAAGGCGGCCUUCUGGACUGACACUGACGCUGAGGUGCGAAAGCGUGGGUAGCAAACAGGAUUAGAUACCCCUGUAGUC